RNAcentral lists this ribosomal RNA (468 nucleotides) under uncultured bacterium. RNAcentral's name for it is "partial 16S ribosomal RNA". It matches the Rfam family "Bacterial small subunit ribosomal RNA", at positions 28 to 507 of the family's 1533-position model. The record is from RNAcentral.
GACGAACGCUGGCGGCGUGCUUAACACAUGCAAGUCGAACGGAAAGGCCCUGCUUUUGUGGGGUGCUCGAGUGGCGAACGGGUGAGUAACACGUGAGUAACCUGCCCUUGACUUUGGGAUAACUUCAGGAAACUGGGGCUAAUACCGGAUAGGAGCUCCUGCUGCAUGGUGGGGGUUGGAAAGUUUCGGCGGUUGGGGAUGGACUCGCGGCUUAUCAGCUUGUUGGUGGGGUAGUGGCUUACCAAGGCUUUGACGGGUAGCCGGCCUGAGAGGGGGACCGGCCACAUUGGGACUGAGAUACGGCCCAGACUCCUACGGGAGGCAGCAGUGGGGAAUAUUGCACAAUGGGCGGAAGCCUGAUGCAGCAACGCCGCGUGCGGGAUGACGGCCUUCGGGUUGUAAACCGCCUUCGCCUGUGACGAAGCGUGAGUGACGGUAAUGGGUAAAGAAGCACCGGCUAACUACGUG